UGAGGAGCUGUGGAAGAGGUUUUGCUGUGUAUGGCGGCUGAUACCCUAGGGGAGACCACGGACUUGUCACCACAGCGAGGACACUCCCAAAUGACAUGAGCCACCAGGGCAGAAGAUGCAGACAAAAGAAAGGAGGAAAUGGACUCUGCAGAAGAGACCCCCCCAAGCUCUGGAGCCCACAGGGAUGAGGGGAAGACGCUCUGCCUGUCCUGACUUGGACUUUUAUGGCUUGGCACCAAGCCCAGCCUUCCAUCACAGUUAUCACAGCAAACACUCACUGUGCAUGGAAAACCCUGCAUGACACGCACCUCCUGUUACAUCAAAUUGGAUGGUUCAAUGGGUGUAUCAUUCUGUUGAGAGCCAGGCACGCACAGAGCCCCUCACCAUUUCUAACCCAGAGGAGGCACCCUUGGGGCCAGCAUCUAAGUUCUUCUUAAAGGGGGAUCUGCUAUUCUUAAGGCCAUGCUGUCACAAUUCAUAGAAAUGUCAGCUACAGUACAACAGGCAGUAGACUGCAUCGAUGCUGUAGCUGGACACAAAAAAGAGAAUUUUCCAGAUCUUGUUUGCCAGUAAAGGUGAAUGGGCCCCACUGCCCCCUCCCCGAGAAACACAACAGAGGGUCCCUAGGGAAUAUGGGUUCUUCCAGGCUCCUUAUUGGUACCACAGAGGGGUGGCACCUUGUCCCAUCUCUCUCCUUCAUGAAGUGACCACCAGGUCUCCCUGCAUUGGCAGCUCUGGAGAUCAGGGGUCCCGAAUGACCUAAUUUCGGGACAGCCUGACCAUGACUUAGAAGCAUUUGCUCAGGCACUGCGGGCUCUGCAACAGACUGCCGACCCCCCCACCCCAAGGAUGGAUGCUGUCACCUCUCAGAAUGCCCCAGCCAUGGCAGCAGGAUCUGGGAUCCGUACCCUGAUCUCUGAGAGUGGCAGCAAUUGAGGCCCCUGUGCUAGGAACCUGGCUGUUCCCCAGAGAGUGUCUCUCCCCUGGGGGACAAUCACCCGCACACUUCUUUAAUUAUCUAUUGGGACACACGUAAGAAACAAC
RNAcentral lists this long non-coding RNA (1044 nucleotides) under Equus asinus (donkey). Its description in RNAcentral is "lncRNA (ENSEASG00005025250.1)". The record is from RNAcentral. Lineage: Eukaryota; Metazoa; Chordata; Mammalia; Perissodactyla; Equidae.